Molecule: ribosomal RNA, 655 nt
Filed under: uncultured delta proteobacterium
Lineage: Bacteria; Deltaproteobacteria
Description: bacterial SSU rRNA
Rfam family: Bacterial small subunit ribosomal RNA
Source: RNAcentral
GAGUUUGAUCAUGGCUCAGAAUGAACGCUGGCGGCGUGCUUAACACAUGCAAGUCGCACGAGAACGCUUCAGCUUGCUGGAGCUAGUAAAGUGGCGCACGGGUGAGUCCCGCGUGGGUAAUCUACCUCCGAAUUGGGGAUAACACUGCGAAAGCGGUGCUAAUACCGAAUGACAUCCCAGGGACCUUGGUUUCGGGGAUCAAAGGUGGCCUCUACAUGUAAGCUACUGUUUGGAGAUGAGCCCGCGUACCAUUAGCUAGUUGGUAGGGUAAUGGCCUACCAAGGCUGCGAUGGUUAGCUGGUCUGAGAGGAUGAUCAGCCACACUGGAACUGACACACGGUCCAGACUCCUACGGGAGGCAGCAGUGAGGAAUUUUGCGCAAUGGGGGAAACCCUGACGCAGCAACGCCGCGUGAGUGAUGAAGGCUUUCGGGUCGUAAAGCUCUGUCAAGUGGGAAGAAUAUGCCCUGUGAUAAUACCAUGGGGCACUGACGGUACCACUGAAGGAAGCACCGGCUAACUCCGUGCCAGCAGCCGCGGUAAUACGGGGGGUGCAAGCGUUAUUCGGAAUCAUUGGGCGUAAAGGGCGCGUAGGCGGCCCCUUAAGUCAGAUGUGAAAGCCCUCAGCUUAACUGAGGAAGUGCAUUUGAAACUAA